CCUACGGGGCGCACCAGUGGGGAAUAUUGCACAAUGGGCGCAAGCCUGAUGCAGCCAUACCGCGUGUAUGAAGAAGGCCUUCGGGUUAUAAAGUACUUUCAGCGGGGAGGAAGGUGUUGUGGUUAAUAACCGCAGCAAUUGACGUUACCCGCAGAAGAAGCACCGGCUAACUCCGUGCCAGCAGCCGCGGUAAUACGGAGGGUGCAAGCGUUAAUCGGAAUUACUGGGCGUAAAGCGCACGCAGGCGGUCUGUCAAGUCGGAUGUGCAAUCCCCGGGCUCAACCUGGGAACUGCAUUCGAAACUGGCAGGCUAGAGUCUUGUAGAGGGGGGUAGAAUUCCAGGUGUAGCGGUGGAAUGCGUAGAGAUCUGGAGGAAUACCGGUGGCGAAGGCGGCCCCCUGGACAAAGACUGACGCUCAGGUGCGAAAGCGUGGGGAGCAUACAGGAUUAGAUACCCCGGUAGUC
RNAcentral lists this ribosomal RNA (465 nucleotides) under uncultured bacterium. RNAcentral describes it as "bacterial SSU rRNA". It matches the Rfam family "Bacterial small subunit ribosomal RNA", at positions 338 to 795 of the family's 1533-position model. The record is from RNAcentral.